This 72-nucleotide transfer RNA is filed under the name Cricetulus griseus (Chinese hamster). It matches the Rfam family "tRNA". From Rfam's summary of the family: Transfer RNA (tRNA) molecules are approximately 80 nucleotides in length. Their secondary structure includes four short double-helical elements and three loops (D, anti-codon, and T loops). The record is from Rfam by way of RNAcentral. Lineage: Eukaryota; Metazoa; Chordata; Mammalia; Rodentia; Cricetidae.
GGGGAGGUGGCUCAGUGGCUGAGAGCACUGUUGCUCUUCCAGAAGAUCUGGGUUCAAUUCCCAGCACCCACG